This 774-nucleotide ribosomal RNA is filed under the name uncultured bacterium. Its description in RNAcentral is "bacterial SSU rRNA". It matches the Rfam family "Bacterial small subunit ribosomal RNA", at positions 54 to 851 of the family's 1533-position model. The record is from RNAcentral.
CUUAUUAGUGGAUCCCUUUCGGGGGUGAAGUUUUUAAGUUUAGCGGCGGACGGGUGCGUAACGCGUGGGUAAUCUGCCCUUGUCACUGGGAUAACACAUCGAAAGGUGUGCUAAUACCGGAUAAAAUACAGACUCGGCAUCGAGAUUGUAUCAAAGUCAUGCGGACAAGGAUGAGCCUGCGUCUGAUUAGCUAGUUGGUGGGGUAAAAGCCUACCAAGGCCACGAUCAGUAGCCGACCUGAGAGGGUGAUCGGCCACACUGGAACUGAGACACGGUCCAGACUCCUACGGGAGGCAGCAGUGGGGAAUAUUGCACAAUGGGCGAAAGCCUGAUGCAGCAACGCCGCGUGAGUGAUGAAGGUUUUCGGAUCGUAAAACUCUGUUCUAAGGGAAGAUAAUGACGGUACCUUAGGAGAAAGCCCCGGCUAACUACGUGCCAGCAGCCGCGGUAAUACGUAGGGGGCAAGCGUUAUCCGGAAUUACUGGGCGUAAAGGGUGCGUAGGUGGCCUGAUAAGUCAGGGGUCAAAGGCAACGGCUCAACCGUUGUAAGCCCUUGAAACUAUCGGGCUUGAGUUCAGGAGAGGAAAGCGGAAUUCCAAGUGUAGCGGUGAAAUGCGUAGAUAUUUGGAGGAACACCAGUGGCGAAGGCGGCUUUCUGGACUGAUACUGACACUGAGGCACGAAAGCGUGGGGAGCAAACAGGAUUAGAUACCCUGGUAGUCCACGCCGUAAACGAUGAGUACUAGGUGUUGGCCCUAAGGGUCGGUGCCGCAG